RNAcentral lists this ribosomal RNA (1355 nucleotides) under uncultured bacterium. RNAcentral describes it as "bacterial SSU rRNA". It matches the Rfam family "Bacterial small subunit ribosomal RNA", at positions 28 to 1381 of the family's 1533-position model. The record is from RNAcentral.
AUUGAACGCUGGCGGCAGGCUUAACACAUGCAAGUCGAACGAUGACUAACUAGCUUGCUAGUUAUGAUUAGUGGCGGACGGGUGAGUAACAUUUAGGAAUCUGCCUAGUAGUGGGGGAUAGCUCGGGGAAACUCGAAUUAAUACCGCAUACGACCUACGGGUGAAAGGGGGCGCAAGCUCUUGCUAUUAGAUGAGCCUAAAUCAGAUUAGCUAGUUGGUGGGGUAAAGGCCCACCAAGGCGACGAUCUGUAACUGGUCUGAGAGGAUGAUCAGUCACACCGGAACUGAGACACGGUCCGGACUCCUACGGGAGGCAGCAGUGGGGAAUAUUGGACAAUGGGGGAAACCCUGAUCCAGCCAUGCCGCGUGUGUGAAGAAGGCCUUUUGGUUGUAAAGCACUUUAAGCAGGGAGGAGAGGCUAAUGGUUAAUACCCAUUAGAUUAGACGUUACCUGCAGAAUAAGCACCGGCUAACUCUGUGCCAGCAGCCGCGGUAAUACAGAGGGUGCGAGCGUUAAUCGGAAUUACUGGGCGUAAAGCGAGUGUAGGUGGCUCAUUAAGUCACAUGUGAAAUCCCCGGGCUUAACCUGGGAACUGCAUGUGAUACUGGUGGUGCUAGAAUAUGUGAGAGGGAAGUAGAAUUCCAGGUGUAGCGGUGAAAUGCGUAGAGAUCUGGAGGAAUACCGAUGGCGAAGGCAGCUUCCUGGCAUAAUAUUGACACUGAGAUUCGAAAGCGUGGGUAGCAAACAGGAUUAGAUACCCUGGUAGUCCACGCCGUAAACGAUGUCUACUAGCUGUUGGGGUCCUUGAGACUUUAGUGGCGCAGUUAACGCGAUAAGUAGACCGCCUGGGGAGUACGGCCGCAAGGUUAAAACUCAAAUGAAUUGACGGGGGCCCGCACAAGCGGUGGAGCAUGUGGUUUAAUUCGAUGCAACGCGAAGAACCUUACCUGGUCUUGACAUAGUGAGAAUCCUGCAGAGAUGCGGGAGUGCCUUCGGGAAUUCACAUACAGGUGCUGCAUGGCUGUCGUCAGCUCGUGUCGUGAGAUGUUGGGUUAAGUCCCGCAACGAGCGCAACCCUUUUCCUUAUUUGCCAGCGGGUUAAGCCGGGAACUUUAAGGAUACUGCCAGUGACAAACUGGAGGAAGGCGGGGACGACGUCAAGUCAUCAUGGCCCUUACGACCAGGGCUACACACGUGCUACAAUGGUAGGUACAGAGGGUUGCUACACAGCGAUGUGAUGCUAAUCUCAAAAAGCCUAUCGUAGUCCGGAUUGGAGUCUGCAACUCGACUCCAUGAAGUCGGAAUCGCUAGUAAUCGCAGAUCAGAAUGCUGCGGUGAAUACGUUCCCGGGCCU